This 255-nucleotide unclassified non-coding RNA is filed under the name rhizosphere metagenome. RNAcentral's name for it is "partial ribosomal RNA internal transcribed spacer region". The record is from RNAcentral.
GAAACAUGAACCUCGUGAAGGGUUGUUGCUGGCCUCUAGAGGUAUGUGCACGCCUGGAUCGUUCAUCCUCCCUUUCUUACACCUGUGCACAACCUGUAGCUUGGGAUGAUCACGGAGUGUGCUGCUUUUGUAGUCACUUCGAAUGCCCUCUCUAUGAACGCUUUUAUAUACACCUUUAUAAAGUCUUGUAGAAUGUUGAUAAGCGUGUAACAGCGCGAAAAUAAUACAACUUUCAGCAACGGAUCUCUUGGCUCU